CAUUUAUUCAAAUCUCAUUUUCUCAAAAUCUCCAAAUCAGAAAAUUUCAACUUAAUGAGUGAAGGAAGCAUUCAACUUUGAGUCUCGGUUAUUAUUGAGGCUUCAAGAGUUGUAGAAUUAUUGGACAUCAUUUGGUAGCUCGUUGACGCGCUCAAAGUUGCUUCCGGUUCUUUGGAAUCAAGUUAUACAGGAGUCAUUCCAGGUUCCAUUCCACCUGCCCCUCAGUAGAUCUUAGUCAUUUUGGUGAGCCCUUCUUCUUUCCAAGGGCUAAGUAAUUAUGUAAUGGAACCUUUGCU
This is a non-coding RNA of Arachis ipaensis, 296 nucleotides long. The record is from RefSeq and is a predicted model, not a curated record. NCBI's taxonomy places the organism in Eukaryota, Viridiplantae, Streptophyta, Magnoliopsida, Fabales, Fabaceae.